AGGGAAAAAGUAAUUUUCCGAAAAGUAACAUAAUAUAUUUCUCUUUGCUUUCUGGUUCGUAUACCCUUCUUUGUUUGAGACUAGGCAGCCGGUCUUCCUGGCACUGGCGAGAUAGAUUCCCAACAAUAUAGCAAAUAUAUGAAAAGGUGGUUCCAUAGGAAGUUUUAGUGAUGAUCUUUGUAAUGAUUCCGGAGUGCAAUGCAAGAAUUAGAAACUCAACAUCUCUAGAAAUUGCGUCUGAAAUGCCUACUUGCUUGAGUUUAUCUUCAACUGAAUCCAAACACAAUAGCUGUGUUCCAUCAUAAGGCAGCAAGAGAGCCAUCUUGAGAGCUGCAAAGCAAUCCAACUCGGCAGUAGUUUGGCUCAUGUGAAGGGUGCCAUUAUCAUCCAGCAAGAUGCCAGUAGUCUUUGCCAAGGAUCUAUCUAUCAACAUCAACAAAUCUCUAAAUCGAGAUAAUUGCACCAUCUUCUUAAAGAUCUCCAACCAACAAGCAUGCAGAGGAUGAACUACAAGCGUGUUCUCCUUCAGUUCCUUGUCCAAGGGUUCUUGAAAGCUUUCCCAUCCAUCAUCCCAAUCAUCACUGCCCCAAUUGUUUCCGGCAUCAGUUGUUUCGGUGGAAUUUGCCUCAGCUCUACCUGAUGGAAAUAGCCCUUCCCACUCUUCCAAAAUGGCUAUCAAACAAUCACAAUGGCUUCCAACUUCAGCAGCUUCACAUAAUAUCGAGAAGCAAGAAACUGCUGAUUCAACGGUCACAAGAUCUUUUGGAGUAAUCUGUAAACUGGGAGAGAUAGCAGACACCAGCUGUGACGACUUGAGGGCGACUAGAGUAUUAGCAAAUCUACUCGAAGCUUCAGUAUUAACAUUUUGCACACCAUGAUCAACGGUAGUCUCAGUGUCAGCAUCUGUUCUUUGUAAACCAUCCCACCCUUCCCAUGGAACAAUAUUGGCCUGUAUCUCAGCGGAAAAUGCCUUCAAAGUUCGACCUCUAGAUGAAAUAGAUUGCAUAAGCUCCAGGAUGUAAACUCGCACAUGGUCAGGAAGCUCCAAGUUAUCCGAGAACUUUGCCAUACUCGUCCAAACUGCUUGCCUUACCAUCUUCAGAUCCUCCAUUUCAUGUUUUACUUCACUCAAAGAUGACAAGAGAUUGGGUAGAUCUGGGUGAUUAAGGGAUGCACCAGAAGAAAGGUCUUGCAAGAUUUUUUCAAAUAUACUCAUAUAAAGAUGGCGAAGAUCUUGUGUUUCAUCACAAUAUUUCUGGCUCCCAGAGAUUGGAGUUGAGUUAGAUGGGAACUGUGACACUGCAUGAGAAUAUACAUGUGCAAUAGCUUCGAAUUUACACCCAGAAAAAAUCAUUGCUUGGCAGAAAUGUGAAAUUUCAAUAGUAAUGCUGCCAGUAAGGCCCUUCUCAACAUAGCGAACAAGAGUUCUCCAACCCUGUCUUGGUGAGACUUUCUUCCCCACAACCAGGUCUAGAAAACCUUCAACGCACACCAUUAAACAUCUCGGGUGAAAAUUUUCUGAACCCUCCUGGGACACAAAUUCCUGCAUGUCACCAGCUAGUUUUAACCAAAAUGUUAGCAUGAUUCUAAGGCAAUCCUGCCAGCUUGAAUCGCAAGAAAUAAUAUUCAAGGAAUUUUUAAAGGGUAGUAUUAUAUCUAAGUAUUGCUUCAUUAUUUCCAGGACAGCUGGACAUGUCAGUGCACUUAUAUAGUUUCUGCACAUAUCAUAUGUACUCUCAAGCUCAUUUAUGAAGUGCUGAAGAUUUUCAGGACUUUCAAAAGGAAUCCUGGAUUUAGCGCUUAAUCCCAACUCUGACAACAAACUCAAUACAUGGUGUUUGUAGACAUCGCGCCAUGAUAGAAGAACCUCCGAUUCUGGAUCCCCGCAGUAGUCAACAAGAGUCUGGACCAUCUUUGCUAGUGCUUCAACAGUAUGUAUAUCAAUGUGAGACAAGACCUCACUGCUGAAACUCUCAAGGUUUAGUCCUUGCAACCCAGCAAUAUUCUUAAAGUUCAGGCCCUGUAUAAAAGAAACUCUGGAACAUUCUUGCUCAACCACCUUAUAAAAAUGAGCCAACGCAUGAGCAGCUAUAUGUGGGGGUUUUGUAUCCAUCACGGGCAACAAGUCUUUAUCUUUUCCAAGCUGCAUGUAGCAGUCAGAUAGCAAGGCAUAUAAACAAGCUAGUCGUUGUUUGUCAUGCCCAUUAAUUGCAGGGUACACUGACAAGGAGAUGGUUUUUAUUGAUUCUGCAGCACAAGCAAGCACAUUGCCUUUAAAGAUUGAAAUUUCGGCCAUUAUAUCAUCAACAGCCCAAACAUCUGAAACAAGGACAGAAGCAAGGUACUGUUGUAGCACCUGAAACGUAAACAGAGAGAAAUUAAGAUAUGACUUCCAGCAGUAUGCAUAUANACUACCAGAGUAUUAUCUGUCAUUUACGUUUGUAUUUUGCAGUAUCUAUUUUAUCUUGUGUUACUUUGUUUCUUUCUUACAGUGAUUAAUCAAAUGUAGGAAACAGACUAAUCAUGAGAUUAUAACACUAAACAUUGACAAAAUCUAAUAACCUCUAUCAUCUAACAUUGGUAGAAAUCAUAGACAAUGCAGUUUGGAUUAGAUUCCCUAAUCUGCCUUUCAACUGGGCAACAGUAUUUGCCAAAGGUUCACAGAAGUCCCUAUCUGCAGAAGCAGAUGCAUCAUCUUGAAGAACUUGAAGCUGCUGCAUUUCUAAAUAUUUCCGGAGACUGGCCUCUGCAACAUUAAUUAAACUGAGAGAUGCAUUUGUAUGCAUGAAUUUCGUGACCAGGAUCCCAGCUAGAAUCUGCUGAUCUGCCUUCACAAGCUCUGUUAUAAAACAGGGAAAAAGUAAUUUUCCGAAAAGUAACAUAAUAUAUUUCUCUUUGCUUUCUGGUUCGUAUACCCUUCUUUGUUUGAGACUAGGCAGCCGGUCUUCCUGGCACUGGCGAGAUAGAUUCCCAACAAUAUAGCAAAUAUAUGAAAAGGUGGUUCCAUAGGAAGUUUUAGUGAUGAUCUUUGUAAUGAUUCCGGAGUGCAAUGCAAGAAUUAGAAACUCAACAUCUCUAGAAAUUGCGUCUGAAAUGCCUACUUGCUUGAGUUUAUCUUCAACUGAAUCCAAACACAAUAGCUGUGU
This 3146-nucleotide long non-coding RNA is filed under the name Daucus carota (carrot). RNAcentral's name for it is "long non-coding RNA (DCAR_LNC004572)". The record is from RNAcentral. Lineage: Eukaryota; Viridiplantae; Streptophyta; Magnoliopsida; Apiales; Apiaceae.